UACAGAGGGUGCAAGCGUUAAUCGGAAUUACUGGGCGUAAAGGGUGUGUAGGUGGUGAUGUAAGUUAGGUGUGAAAUCCUCGGGCUUAACCUGAGAAUUGCGCUUAAUACUGCAUUUCUAGAGUACUGCAGAGGGCAGUGGAAUUUCCAGUGUAGCGGUGAAAUGCGUAGAUAUUGGAAGGAACACCAGUGGCGAAGGCGACUGCCUGGAUAGAUACUGACACUGAGACACGAAAGCGUGGGUAGCAAACAGGAUUAGAAA
RNAcentral lists this ribosomal RNA (261 nucleotides) under uncultured bacterium. RNAcentral describes it as "partial 16S ribosomal RNA". It matches the Rfam family "Bacterial small subunit ribosomal RNA", at positions 524 to 784 of the family's 1533-position model. The record is from RNAcentral.